UACGGAGGGUGCAAGCGUUAUCCGGAUUCACUGGGUUUAAAGGGUGCGUAGGCGGCCCCGUAAGUCAGUGCUGAAAUAUCCCGGCUUAACCGGGAGGGUGGCAUUGAUACUGCAGGGCUUGAGUAAAGUUGAGGUAGGCGGAAUUGACGGUGUAGCGGUGAAAUGCUUAGAUAUCGUCAAGAACACCGAUAGUGUAGACAGCUUACUAAGCUUUAACUGACGCUGAGGCACGAAAGUGUGGGGAUCAAACAGG
Molecule: ribosomal RNA, 253 nt
Filed under: uncultured bacterium
Lineage: Bacteria
Description: partial 16S ribosomal RNA
Rfam family: Bacterial small subunit ribosomal RNA
Source: RNAcentral